Molecule: long non-coding RNA, 4166 nt
Filed under: Olea europaea subsp. europaea
Lineage: Eukaryota; Viridiplantae; Streptophyta; Magnoliopsida; Lamiales; Oleaceae
Source: RNAcentral
CAACAAUCUCUAAAAAUCUGUUCUUUUCUCUCGCCCAAUCCAUUGCCACCAUCCAAAAAUAUCUUUUCACUUUUACCGGUAAAAAAUCAGAAACCCUAGUUACUCUACAAUCCUCGAGGACCGAUUGGCCGACGCUCGAACAACCGUACAGCUUCAAUUGUCCCAUUUCCAUCCCAAGAAGUAUAAAAUAUAAAUCNUUAACUUAAGAAGAACCGUCGAGUUCGAUUCAAGAGUUUUGUCCAACCCUAAUCAAAAUCUUGACCGCACAAAAAAUGGCCUCUUUUAUAUUGGGUGUCUCAAAUGCACCUAGAAAAUGACUACUUUUGUAAAGCCUUUCAUAUUAAUCACAUUAAAUCCCCAUUUUGGCUAAAAAUCAAGUUUGUCUGUGUCAAAACAGCCAGACUGAUUCAAUUGAGAAAAAAAAAAUAGAGAGAGAAAAAAAAAAAUAUUCUUCUAUUUGUAACGUUCGAAUUUUUUAUUUUUUUGAAUUUCACUCCCUACUCUUAAAGUAAAUGAAGACUGAAAUCAUAUGACUAAUAAGGCUACACUUUUACGAUUUAAAGCUACGUCUUGAUCUCACUUUAUAUCUCGUCCAGCCCAUGCUCAGACGUAUUUUCCAAAAUUAUGGCAUAUAUACAGUAUGACAAUCAUCCUUGUAUUUCUCCUUUUAAGCAUUGAUCCUAAUUAUACUAAUUAUAUUCCUCACCUAAAAAGGGAGUUAAAUAUUUCACUGAACUUAUAUUCUGUCACGCUUUACUCACUAAAUUUUAAAAUGCUUUUAUAUAGUCAUUAAACUUUUAACACGUUAUACUCAUCACUCAUUCACUAUGUUUCAUUAGCCACCGAACUUUUAAAAUGUUUUGAGUGGUUACUAAAAUUUAACAACCGGUACUUCAGUAAUCAGGCUCAUUCAUCAUAUUCCAUUAAUCAUUGAAUUUUUACACUCCUCAUGCUUUAUUCACUAAAUUUUAAAAUGCUUUGAAGUGGUUGUUAAAAUUUCCUCACCAAAUUCAACUGCUCAAGUUUUAAAAAUUUUAAAGGAUAAAAUACUAUACAUAGAACGACGCCGUUUCUUGUAUCUUGAAUUGCCUUGUGAUAACUCUGAAAAUUAUAUUUUGUUAGUCUUAAUUAAUAAAUGAUCUCAUAAACAUCAAUGCUUAGCUUAUGUUAAGUACCGGUGACAUGACACACCAUUUAAUUAAUGAAUAAGUUAAUUGAAAGUCUAAAUAUCUAUUUGAUAUUUUACCAAUAUCAAUUUCUUGUUUUUAAAUUGAAUGUCCAAUUAUCUAUUUGAUAUUUUUAUUUUAUCUAGUUUGAAUAUCAUAGUAAACUUUAUUAGAAAUCAUUAUGAAGUUCAGUGACUACUCGAAAAUAUUUUAAAAUUCAAUGAGUAAAGUGUGACGGAUUUAUAAGUUUAAUAACUAAUGAAACAUGGUCGGUGAAUGAUGGAGUACAAUCACGUGUUAAAGUUCAAUGAUCACCGGAAGCAUUUUAAAGUUCAAUGACUCAUGAAACACGAUGAGUGAAUGAUGAAGUACACGAAAAAAAAAUGAAAAAUCAAAAUGUCGUCUUAUUAAAAACCCUAAUUAUGACAUCCCUAGUUGAAUUGAAGAAAUCUGAAUGCCUACUGGUAUUAUAGAAUUCCUUCUUGUUAGAAUUUUUUGAAAUGUAACUAAGGUUGCAAGGGUGCCAAACCUUUCGUUUUCUUGCUCGUUUAGUGAUUCCACUUCCACAAACCUAGCGGCAUUUUGAUACCACCAGGAAUAGGAAAACUAAAUUCCAAGGAAUUUGGUUCUUUUGACGAACUGGAUGUCAAUAAAUCCGCGAGUCUAGAAAUUCAUUUCUCAAGAGCGCCACCGACUUUCGGACUGCCUAUCAUCGGUCAUUCCACUCCCCAAGCCCUUGCUACAGUAUCGUCAUUAAUUGUUGACGACGAGUUGGGGCCGCAAGGAUAGGCUUUAACAAGUAGAUAGAAGAUAAAGUCACUACAUGUUAAACUUUAGUGAACAUUCAGAUAUAUAUUAAAAGUUUAAUGAGUAAAAUAAAAUAUGAUGAAAGUAUAAGUUAAGUGCCUGUUUGACAUUCUUUAGUUUAUUUUAUGAUUUGUUAUAUGAUCAUCUUCAAUCACAUAUUCACACAAUAAAAUAUCAUAUACGUAUAUCAAAAAUAUUUUCUUACGUUUUUACACAAAUUCUAUUAAAAAUUAUUAUUCACAACUCUUUUUGACCAAAAUAGUUGUGAAACAUUUUACUCCCAAAAAGGUGGCUCCCACACCUUUCUCCACGUGCUGCCAACAAUCUCUAAAAAUCUGUUCUUUUCUCUCGCCCAAUCCAUUGCGAGCAUCCAAAAAUAUCUUUUCACUUUUACCGGUAAAAAAUCAGAAACCCUAGUUACUCUACAAUCCUCGAGGACCGAUUGGCCGACGCUCGAACAACCGUACAGCUUCAAUUGUCCCAUUUCCAUCCCAAGAAGUAUAAAAUAUAAAUCCAUAGUUUAUUUUACUGUAAUUCUUAUGUUGAUUUCUGUUACAUUCUGUUUGGCUGUUCACAGAACGUAUUUUGCGCACAGUUAACAAUUUACACAAUUUUACUUCAUUUUUUUUUUUUUUUAAAUUUAGCGUUAUCAGGUUCGAUUUUGUCAAUUUCAGGAUUAUUUUUUGUGUAUUGUUGAGAUGAGUUGUUUUUUGAUUUUUUUCCCUUUUCAUAGGGAUCUAUGAUGGCGGACGAGACGUUGAUCAACGGUGAAAACUCUGAUGAUCGGACGGUGGAAAUUACUGGGGAUGAAGUUUCGUCUAAAAUUUCAGUUCUCAGCCAAAAGAUCGAUAGACUUGAGCAGGAAAAUGAGAAGAUAAUUUCCGAGAACAAGAAGUACAAGGAGAGGAUUGAGGAAUUGACGGCCUCUGUAAAAAAUUUGGAUGCAAAAAAUGUGGAGUUGAAAAAACAGGUUGAAAGUUCUGAAUCUGAGAACAAGGCUCUUGGGGCAGUGGCGGCUCGAGCUGCGGAGCUUGAAGCCGAAGUGGCACGCAUGCAUCACGACUUGGGAUCUGCGAUGAGUGAUUUGCAAGAAUCAAAUGUGGAAUUAUCAGAGGUGAAAAAGGAUUUGGAGGAAAUGAACGGAAGGAAUAAGGAGAAGGAUGUUAAGCUUGCGGCAAUUGAGAAGGAGAGGGAUUUGUUGAUGGUGAAGGUCAGUGAAUUGGAGGAGAAAAAGAGCGAUUUCAGGAAUGAAAUGGAAGAGAAGGAAAAGGAGAUUCGAGGUUUGAAGAAGAAAGUUGAGGAAUUGGAGGCUGUGGUGGGAAAGAAUGAGGGAUUGGAGAAGUUGAAAAAUGAGUUGGAAAAAGAGGUUGAGGAAAUGGAAAGGAAAAAUGGAGUUUUGGAGAGUAAAUUGGUUGAGGAAGUGAAGGCAAAGGAAAAAUUGAUUAUGGAAGGUGUUAAUGGUGGUAUUAAUAGGGAUUUUGUGGUCGACAAAGAAAAAAAGGGCUUGAUUGGUGGUCCAAAGGAAAGGGAUUGGGCGGUAAUGGUGGGAUCAGCUGUUGCUGCCGCUUCGGUGUUAGGUGUUGCCUGCUAUUUUCGACAUGUCUCUAGUAAGCACUAAGCAACGAUUGGAUGCACGCAAACAUGCAGGAGUUAGAGGUUAGGAGAGCUCUAUUCUAACCCAAGAAAAAAGAGUUUUCGAUUUUGAUAAGUUCUAUUUCUUUUGUUUGUUUGGGUUUCUAUCUUCUGAGUUUGGUGAUUUUAGUUGAUACCAGUAGUAACCUUUUAAUAAUAUUAUUGUUGGCUAGUACUUGAACAAUAUAUAUUUUGUUUAGAAACCUUCAGGCUGGGGAAUAUACUGUGGUGAUUAUGGUGAAUGUGACUUACUGAAAUUUGGAUAUUAUGAGAUCAAAUAUGCGUGGAAUGAUUUUUGAGUUUGGACUGCUCACUGCUUGAAAUUUGUAUAUGUUUCUAUGGAUGUCACCGUAAAAUUUUAUUGCGGUGCUUUAUUUUGGCUUACAGUUACUUUACGACAUCAUAUUGAUAUGAAUAGUGCGGAUUUAUCAGUGUUGUGUUAUGAGAUCAAUCCUUGCUUUUAUGGAAGAGGAAAAUUUGUUUGGAACUUCAUAUGGUACUUUCUAGGAAAUUGUUGACGUGUUCUCCAAAUUGGUUGAGUCCGGUGAUAUAUCUCAUCCA